GAGGAUGCACCAUGCCUAGCAGAACGGGAAAGUUUGGAGUGACGGCCCGACAUUUCUACUAAGUAUUGCUGGAAUUUGCAAGAGACUUGAAAGAGUUUUGAUAGUUUGAGAGCUAAAAUUGAUGCUUGAGUGAAUAAAAAUGAACAUAUAUGAAGCCUAUUUAUAGAGGAGAGAAAGGCAUUUCAUUAAUGGAAGAAUUCUGCUGAAAAUUGAAAGCUAAAACGAUCAGAAACGGUAAAGAAUAAAUUGCACUGACCAUUUGACAAUCGAUUGUUGUAAUGAGAUAAUCGAUUGUCAUUAAGAUUUGACUGAAUCUCGGAACUGACACAAAUCGAUUGCAGAACCAAACGG
This 351-nucleotide long non-coding RNA is filed under the name Nicotiana benthamiana. Its description in RNAcentral is "long non-coding RNA (NBEN_LNC021473)". The record is from RNAcentral. Lineage: Eukaryota; Viridiplantae; Streptophyta; Magnoliopsida; Solanales; Solanaceae.